Molecule: long non-coding RNA, 1302 nt
Organism: Pomacea canaliculata
Lineage: Eukaryota; Metazoa; Mollusca; Gastropoda; Architaenioglossa; Ampullariidae
Exons: 3
Source: RefSeq, a predicted model, not a curated record
UGGCCGGCAGGUCAUUAUCGCCACAGGUCAAACACCGGAGCCCGCAGGGCAACGAAAAAUAAGUAGGGAUCAACAAGACAAGGCCAAAACCAAAGGUACGGAUGAGAAUCAGUGUACGGUAAUCAGAUUUUUAAAGACAAGCGAGACAUUUUGGCGUCCCUCCCGGACAUUUUAUGAGCAGGCGGGACACGAUGUCAAAAGCGGGACUGUCCCGCGUAUGGUCACCUAGAAGUGUUCGGGAAUAUUCUUCGUGUGGUCAACAUUGUCGCGUGUCGGCGACCGUGUUGUCUGUGUUGUGCCGCCCGUACAGUGCUGGAAUGUCGUUGGGUGUGCGCGCGCGGAUGGGGAGAAUCAAGGGACAUUCACACGACCCUUGUGUGACCCUAUCCGUCUCGCGAGCUGAAGAGCCCACCGGCGGCGCUUGUCGUCACUCGUCGGUUGUUUGCAGGUCCCUUCUUUUCGGGAGUGGACGGCGCAUCCCUCCCCUUGACCUUUCUCCCCCCUUUCUUUACCUUAUAUAUUCGCGCACGCGCAGUCCUUGGGGCGUUUUUCUGUCGCUUUUGGACAACAACAACAACAACAACAACAACUUCUUCCAGCAACAGGCAGUGCCGGACGUGUGGGACGGUGUUAGACCGUGGUCGUGGCAGCCGGCGUCUUUUCUUGCCCUGGAUCGACCUGUCACAAUCCGUUUUGGUCUAACUGUUCGCCCCUCCACCCUGCACCCUCAUCGCCUCGUCAGCGCGUGAACCCGUGACCCUGCCGUGCCCGGGUGAGGCCAAGCCUACCAGCUCAAGCUCCCCAGUUACAAAGGCCCUCGGGGAAGGUGUGCCUGGACGAGAGGAAGAGCGGGGGAGGGGAGGUCAGAACUGGAGCGUCACGCAGGGUCAGAGGGCGAGCAGCAGUCAGCCGGUACAUUGACCGGACGAUAGACUGGCAACCCGGCAGUACGACUUUCAAUUAUGAAGAAUAAAAUAUGGUAUUUCGUUGUAAUCCUUGGCACCGUUUUUUCUGUUCUUGGCUGUGGUGCAUUUUUGAGACACCAUUAUGUUGUGGACUUCACGCUUUCUUUCCUUCCUACAUGCCAACAGCAACCAGAGCACCCAGUCCAGAGCAACAGACCAAGACCAUGAUUCUUCCACUAAUGUGAGCACAGGUACCUUACAACGUCCAGCAUCUUGAGUAUUGAUAAUCAUGAGUCUGAAACCCCAGAAUACACAUCUAUAGGCGAUAGAAAUUUGCAUCAGACUACCACUCUCUCUAUCCGCCCAAUUCAUUCUGCUGAGGCUGGGAAUCCCAAGU